AUGAUAGUAUGUAAUGACAGUUCUAAAACCUGCCCCAAAUAAAUAAACAAUUAUCUUGAUACUUUGAGAUUGCUUGUAAAUGUUGUCGCCUACAGACAAAUGUCACCAUAAAGAAUAGUAACAAAAUUUUGAUGCCUUCUUUCAGCAUAUCUUUGAUACUUGGAAGGAGUUGCAUUGUAUCAGACUAAAAGUCUUCAUCCAUUUUAAAGAUGAAGUUUUUUCCACCAUCUUGAAGGCUUGACAUAACAGAUGCCUUCUGAUAAUCUCCUACCCUUCUCUCAAAAAAAUUUGCUUUCCCUUGCAAAGAUAUAAAUUCCAUCCAAUCAAAGGGGUUUUCCACAUUGUACUUUCUCUGAUAACCUAAAGCAACCAAAAGACGGUCAGCAACAAACU
Molecule: unclassified non-coding RNA, 393 nt
Filed under: Hevea brasiliensis (rubber tree)
Lineage: Eukaryota; Viridiplantae; Streptophyta; Magnoliopsida; Malpighiales; Euphorbiaceae
Source: RNAcentral